GUUUCUGUGGUGUAAUAGUUAUCAUGUUUGCCUCACAUGCGAAAAGUCCCUGGUUCGAAACCGGGCAGAAACA
Molecule: non-coding RNA, 73 nt
Organism: Pangasius djambal
Lineage: Eukaryota; Metazoa; Chordata; Actinopteri; Siluriformes; Pangasiidae
Source: the annotation of a GenBank genome assembly